Molecule: unclassified non-coding RNA, 349 nt
Filed under: Hevea brasiliensis (rubber tree)
Lineage: Eukaryota; Viridiplantae; Streptophyta; Magnoliopsida; Malpighiales; Euphorbiaceae
Source: RNAcentral
UUUUUUUUUAUUAUUUUUUUUUUAGGGGAGGAGAAGAUGAGAGAGAAAAAUAGAGUCUGGAUAUUUCAAACAUUUACGAGUGUGUGGAAAUAUUCUCAUUUCAUGUAUAACUACUGCCCGAAAUUAGGGAUUUCGGACACAACUGUUAACAAAUCAGAAUUCAAUCAAGGGACCAAAUAGAAAGGUUAUAAAAUAACAUAGGCCAACUCGCGCAUUAUGACAAAUCUCAAUGGGAGUUUUAGUCUAUUAUCCUUAUAUUAGUUAGCAUGUCUUGAUAAAAUUAACAUAGUUUUAUCAAAGGGUGUAUCCUGUCACUGAAUCACCUGGACGCGUGUGUACACCUUUGGAA